CGUAAAGCGAGCGCAGGCGGAAAAAUAAGUCUAAUGUGAAAGCCCUCGGCUUAACCGAGGAACUGCAUCGGAAACUGUUUUUCUUGAGUGCAGAAGAGGAGAGUGGAACUCCAUGCGUAGCGGUGGAAUGCGUAGAUAUAUGGAAGAACACCAGUGGCGAAGGCGGCUCUCUGGUCUGCAACUGACGCUGAGGCUCGAAAGCAUGGGUAGCGAACAGGAUUAGAUACCCUGGUAGUCCAUGCCGUAAACGAUGAGUGCUAAGUGUUGGGAGGUUUCCGCCUCUCAGUGCUGCAGCUAACGCAUUAAGCACUCCGCCUGGGGAGUACGACCGCAAGGUUGAAACUCAAAGGAAUUGACGGGGGCCCGCACAAGCGGUGGAGCAUGUGGUUUAAUUCGAUGCAACGCGAAGAACCUUACCAGGUCUUGACAUCUAGUGCAAUCUGUAGAGAUACGGAGUUCCCUUCGGGGACGCUAAGACAGGUGGUGCAUGGCUGUCGUCAGCUCGUGUCGUGAGAUGUUGGGUUAAGUCCCGCAACGAGCGCAACCCUUGUUAUUAGUUGCCAGCAUUAAGUUGGGCACUCUAAUGAGACUGCCGGUGACAAACCGGAGGAAGGUGGGGAUGACGUCAAGUCAUCAUGCCCCUUAUGACCUGGGCUACACACGUGCUACAAUGGGCAGUACAACGAGAAGCAAGCCUGCGAAGGCAAGCGAAUCUCUGAAAGCUGUUCUCAGUUCGGACUGCAGUCUGCAACUCGACUGCACGAAGCUGGAAUCGCUAGUAAUCG
RNAcentral lists this ribosomal RNA (785 nucleotides) under uncultured Bacillota bacterium. RNAcentral's name for it is "bacterial SSU rRNA". It matches the Rfam family "Bacterial small subunit ribosomal RNA", at positions 559 to 1344 of the family's 1533-position model. Lineage: Bacteria; Bacillati; Bacillota. The record is from RNAcentral.